RNAcentral lists this ribosomal RNA (484 nucleotides) under uncultured bacterium. Its description in RNAcentral is "partial 16S ribosomal RNA". It matches the Rfam family "Bacterial small subunit ribosomal RNA", at positions 30 to 507 of the family's 1533-position model. The record is from RNAcentral.
AUUGAACGCUGGCGGCAUGCCUAACACAUGCAAGUCGAACGAUGAUUAAGAGCUUGCUCUUAUGAUUAGUGGCGGACGGGUGAGUAAUGUAUAGGGAUCUGCCUGUUAGUGGGGGACAACAGCCGGAAACGGCUGCUAAUACCGCAUACGCUCUACGGAGGAAAGUGGGGGACCCUCGGGCCUCACGCUAACAGAUGAACCUAUAUUGGAUUAGCUAGUUGGUAGGGUAAAGGCCUACCAAGGCGACGAUCCAUAGCUGGUUUGAGAGAAUGAUCAGCCACACUGGGACUGAGACACGGCCCAGACUCCUACGGGAGGCAGCAGUGGGGAAUAUUGGACAAUGGGCGCAAGCCUGAUCCAGCAAUGCCGCGUGUGUGAAGAAGGCCUUCGGGUUGUAAAGCACUUUAAGUUGGGAGGAAAAGCUGAGGGUUAAUAGCCUUUAGUGUUGACGUUACCAACAGAAUAAGCACCGGCUAACUCCGUG